Molecule: long non-coding RNA, 1067 nt
Organism: Homo sapiens (human)
Lineage: Eukaryota; Metazoa; Chordata; Mammalia; Primates; Hominidae
Exons: 2
Source: RefSeq, a predicted model, not a curated record
CAUCUCUUACCAACACCAUCUAUACAGCAAUGCCUGAAUCAGAGAACGCUUUAAGCCCAAGUCUGCACCUGGCAGCACUUCCUUCUUCAACAAUAAACUGAAUAAAGACUUCUGGGUUCCUAUUGUGUGCCAUGCCGUUUGGCAGGGGGGUCGCUGCAGGAACAUGUGUCAUAUUGGUCACUUAUCAUCCACUCCACCUUUUCUUCUGGCAGCAGCCCUUGAGUUUCUUUUAGGGAGCCACUCCCACCCACCCCUGCUUAGUCGGCUUGGCUUAGACAGGCUCCACCCCCAGCUCCAGGCUGGAGCACGUGACUGAGGGCUGGCCAAUCACGGCACUGAAUUCCUCUUGCUAGCGAUUCAUGUAGUGAUUGAGUCACUCAGGUUCCUCCAAUAGCAAUGAACCAAGGACCUAAGUGGGACGUACCAGGGAGAUAUUUUCCUCCUGAAGUUACUUACCGAAAUGGUGACGUGAGCCUGGAAUGGCCAGGAGCCACUACAUAGUACCUAAAAUAAACCCACACUGCGGGAGGCAGAGCUAAGACAGAGAAAAAUGGAAUUCUGAAGAUAUUAUUAGAGCUGCUAUCAAUCUGGCCCUAGCCCCGAACUUUUCAAUUACUUGGGCCAAUAGAUUUUCUCCUCCCACCCCAUCUUCUUGGCUGAAGCCAGUUUGAAUUAGUUUUUGUCUUUUGCCACCAACACUGAAAGAGUUUUGAUAUAGAGACGGAUGAAAAGACAGCAUUCCUGAUCCUGAGGCGGCAGACGUAAACUCAAGUGUGAGAAAUUGUUGGGAAGAUUGAAAGAGCAGAUUCGAGGAGGCUAUGCUUCAAGAGCAGCUUUCCAGAACCACACCACAGGACUGGCUGCUUCUGGGCCCCACAGCCACGAUGCCUCUGCACCAAUCAGGAAGCUGCUGGUUUUAGAAUAACCAAAUGUCUCCACCCGUGUUUGCCAGUAAAAUCAUCUCCCUAUGCCUGGUUUCCUCCUCAUCAGGCUUCAUUUUUCCUUCCAUGUUUUGUGAGGAGUCUGUCAUUACUUUUUGCCAUUAAAAGUAAUGGCAAAAUCCGCAA